RNAcentral lists this transfer RNA (74 nucleotides) under Gammaproteobacteria bacterium. RNAcentral describes it as "tRNA-Gln". It matches the Rfam family "tRNA". Rfam says of the family: Transfer RNA (tRNA) molecules are approximately 80 nucleotides in length. Their secondary structure includes four short double-helical elements and three loops (D, anti-codon, and T loops). Further hydrogen bonds mediate the characteristic L-shaped molecular structure. tRNAs have two regions of fundamental functional importance: the anti-codon, which is responsible for specific mRNA codon recognition, and the 3' end, to which the tRNAs corresponding amino acid is attached (by aminoacyl-tRNA synthetases). tRNAs cope with the degeneracy of the genetic code in two manners: having more than one tRNA (with a specific anti-codon) for a particular amino acid; and 'wobble' base-pairing, i.e. permitting non-standard base-pairing at the 3rd anti-codon position. Lineage: Bacteria; Pseudomonadati; Pseudomonadota; Gammaproteobacteria. The record is from RNAcentral.
UGGGGAAUCGUCUAACGGCAGGACUACGGACUCUGACUCCGUCAAUCAAGGUUCAAAUCCUUGUUCCCCAGCCA